GAUGAACGCUGGCGGCGUGCCUAAUACGUGCAAGUCGAGCGAACGGACGAGAAGCUUGCUUUUCUGAUGUUAGCGGCGGACGGGUGAGUAACACGUGGAUAACCUACCUAUAAGACUGGGAUAACUUCGGGAAACCGGAGCUAAUACCGGAUAAUAUUUUGAACCGCAUGGUUCAAAAGUGAAAGACGGUCUUGCUGUCACUUAUAGAUGGAUCCGCGCUGCAUUAGCUAGUUGGUAAGGUAACGGCUUACCAAGGCAACGAUGCAUAGCCGACCUGAGAGGGUGAUCGGCCACACUGGAACUGAGACACGGUCCAGACUCCUAAGGGAGGCAGCAGUAGGGAAUCUUCCGCAAUGGGCGAAAGCAUGAUGGAGCAAAGCCGCGUGAGUGAUGAAGGUAUUCGGAUCGUAAAACUCUGUUAUUAGGGAAGAACAUAUGUGUAAGUAACUGUGCACAUCUUGACGGUACCUAAUCAGAAAGCCACGGCUAACUACGUG
RNAcentral lists this ribosomal RNA (497 nucleotides) under uncultured bacterium. Its description in RNAcentral is "partial 16S ribosomal RNA". It matches the Rfam family "Bacterial small subunit ribosomal RNA", at positions 28 to 507 of the family's 1533-position model. The record is from RNAcentral.